AAUAAUUAAAAAAAAUAUUUAUAAUAAAUACUUAUUGCUGCUGAGAACAAAAAAACAAAUACUACAAACAAUAUUCUUUUUGUGGAUUAGCCGUAUUAAAUCAAUGUUGUGGUUUAAAAAAUUAAUAAUAUUCAUCAUAAUUACCAAAAGCUCAUAACACAUAUGUGUUUAUGCAUUUAUUAUCAGGAUUUAUGCUAAUUAAAAAUUAAAUCAACUGAUUCGAAUUGAAACAUUACUAAUUGGAUAAUAUUAAACCAUUUACCGUUUUGCCAUAAAAUAAAGUGAACAUUCAACAUUUUGACAUUUAAUUAUGAGAGAUUUUUAUGUAAGUACAA
This is a long non-coding RNA of Lucilia sericata (common green bottle fly), 335 nucleotides long. RefSeq lists it as uncharacterized. The record is from RefSeq and is a predicted model, not a curated record. The transcript has 5 exons. NCBI's taxonomy places the organism in Eukaryota, Metazoa, Arthropoda, Insecta, Diptera, Calliphoridae.